CAGAUGAAAGGAACCUGAAAAUGGCACUCAGA
Molecule: non-coding RNA, 32 nt
Filed under: Geobacter sulfurreducens PCA
Lineage: Bacteria; Pseudomonadati; Thermodesulfobacteriota; Desulfuromonadia; Geobacterales; Geobacteraceae
Source: RNAcentral